RNAcentral lists this ribosomal RNA (433 nucleotides) under uncultured bacterium. Its description in RNAcentral is "partial 16S ribosomal RNA". It matches the Rfam family "Bacterial small subunit ribosomal RNA", at positions 29 to 507 of the family's 1533-position model. The record is from RNAcentral.
AACGAACGCUGGCGGCAUGCCUAACACAUGCAAGUCGAACGAGACCUUCGGGUCUAGUGGCGCACGGGUGCGUAACGCGUGGGAACCUGCCCUUAGGUUCGGAAUAACUCCCCGAAAGGGGUGCUAAUACCGGAUAAUGUCUUCGGACCAAAGAUUUAUCGCCUUUGGAUGGGCCCGCGUUGGAUUAGCUAGUUGGUAGGGUAAAAGCCUACCAGGGCGACGAUCCAUAGCUGGUCUGAGAGGAUGAGCAGCCACACUGGGACUGAGACACGGCCCAGAAUCCUACGGAAGGCAGCAGAGGGGAAUAUUGGACAAUGGGCGAAAGCCUGAUCCAGCAAGGCCGGGUGAGUGAUGAAGGCCUUAGGGUUGUAAAGCUCUUUUACCCGGGAUGAUAAUGACAGUACCGGGAGAAUAAGCUCCGGCUAACUCCGUG